GCCGCGGUAAUACGUAGGGUGCGAGCGUUAAUCGGAAUUACUGGGCGUAAAGCGUGCGCAGGCGGUUUUGUAAGACAGAUGUGAAAUCCCCGGGCUUAACCUGGGAACUGCAUUUGUGACUGCAAGACUAGAGUGUGUCAGAGGGAGGUGGAAUUCCGCGUGUAGCAGUGAAAUGCGUAGAGAUGCGGAAGAACACCGAUGGCGAAGGCAGCCUCCUGGGAUAACACUGACGCUCAGGCACGAAAGCGUGGGGAGCAAACAGGAUUAGAUACCCUGGUAGUCCACGCCCUAAACGAUGUCAACUGGUUGUUGGGGAUUCAUUUCCUUAGUAACGUAGCUAACGCGUGAAGUUGACCGCCUGGGGAGUACGGCCGCAAGGUUAAAACUCAAAGGAAUUGACGGGGACCCGCACAAGCGGUGGAUGAUGUGGAUUAAUUCGAUGCAACGCGAAAAACCUUACCUACCCUUGACAUGUCGAGAACUUUUCAGAGAUGGAUUGGUGCCCGAAAGGGAACUCGAACACAGGUGCUGCAUGGCUGUCGUCAGCUCGUGUCGUGAGAUGUUGGGUUAAGUCCCGCAACGAGCGCAACCCUUGUCCUUAGUUGCUACGCAAGAGCACUCUAAGGAUACUGCCGGUGACAAACCGGAGGAAGGUGGGGAUGACGUCAAGUCCUCAUGGCCCUUAUGGGUAGGGCUUCACACGUCAUACAAUGGUCGGUACAGAGGGUCGCCAACCCGCGAGGGGGAGCCAAUCCCAUAAAACCGAUCGUAGUCCGGAUUGCAGUCUGCAACUCGACUGCAUGAAGUCGGAAUCGCUAGUAAUCGCGGAUCAGCAUGUCGCGGUGAAUACGUUCCCGGGUCUUGUACACACCGCCCGUCACACCAUGGGAGUGGGUUUUACCAGAAGUAGUUAGCCUAACCGCAAGGGGGGCGAUUACCACGGUAGGUCUCAUGACUGGGGUGAAGUCGUAACAAGGUAGCCGUACCGGAAGGUGCGGCUGGAUCACCUCCUUUC
Molecule: ribosomal RNA, 1015 nt
Filed under: Betaproteobacteria bacterium
Lineage: Bacteria; Pseudomonadati; Pseudomonadota; Betaproteobacteria
Description: bacterial SSU rRNA
Rfam family: Bacterial small subunit ribosomal RNA
Source: RNAcentral